This 460-nucleotide ribosomal RNA is filed under the name uncultured bacterium. RNAcentral describes it as "partial 16S ribosomal RNA". It matches the Rfam family "Bacterial small subunit ribosomal RNA", at positions 338 to 795 of the family's 1533-position model. The record is from RNAcentral.
CCUACGGGAGACUGCAGUGAGGAAUAUUGGUCAAUGGGCGCUAGCCUGAACCAGCCAAGUAGCGUGAAGGAUGACUGCCCUAUGGGUUGUAAACUUCUUUUAUAUGGGAAUAAAGUGCAGUAUGUAUACUGCUUUGCAUGUACCUUAUGAAUAAGGAUCGGCUAACUCCGUGCCAGCAGCCGCGGUAAUACGGAGGAUCCGAGCGUUAUCCGGAUUUAUUGGGUUUAAAGGGAGCGUAGGCGGGUUGUUAAGUCAGUUGUGAAAGUUUGCGGCUCAACCGUAAAAUUGCAGUUGAUACUGGCAUCCUUGAGUACAGUAGAGGUAGGCGGAUUUCGUGGUGUAGCGGUGAACUGCUUAGAUAUCACGAAGAACUCCGAUCGCGAAGGCAAGUGUCCGGGGUGCAACUGACGCUGUGGCUCGAAAGUGCGGGUAUCAAACAGGAUUAGAUACCCCAGUAGUC